Molecule: ribosomal RNA, 497 nt
Filed under: uncultured bacterium
Lineage: Bacteria
Description: bacterial SSU rRNA
Rfam family: Bacterial small subunit ribosomal RNA
Source: RNAcentral
ACUCAAAGGAAUUGACGGGGGCCCGCACAAGCGGCGGAGCAUGUGGCUUAAUUCGAGGCAACGCGAAGAACCUUACCUGGGCUGAACUACGCAGGAAAAGCCGUAGAGAUACGGUGUCCGAAAGGGCCUGUGAUAGGUGGUGCAUGGCUGUCGUCAGCUCGUGUCGUGAGAUGUUGGGUUAAGUCCCGCAACGAGCGCAACCCUUGUCCUGUGUUGCCAGCGGGUAACGCCGGGGACUCGCAGGAGACUGCCGGGGUCAACUCGGAGGAAGGUGGGGAUGAAGUCAAGUCAUCAUGCCCCUUACGUCCAGGGCUGCACACAUGCUACAAUGGCCGGUACAAAGGGCUGCUAAUCCGCGAGGAGGAGCGAAUCCCAAAAAACCGGUCUCAGUUCGGAUCGCAGUCUGCAACUCGACUGCGUGAAGUCGGAGUCGCUAGUAAUCCCGGAUCAGCAACGCCGGGGUGAAUACGUUCCCGGGCCUUGUACACACCGCCCGU